Manihot esculenta (cassava) is the source of this 1122-nucleotide long non-coding RNA. RefSeq lists it as uncharacterized. The transcript is spliced from 2 exons. Lineage: Eukaryota; Viridiplantae; Streptophyta; Magnoliopsida; Malpighiales; Euphorbiaceae. The record is from RefSeq and is a predicted model, not a curated record.
CAGAGACCUUUGAUGGGAUGAGCAUCAUUGUUUAUUCGCUGCACUCUCUCGUCGUCAAACUUUUCAAAAUCAAUGUUAUUAAAAAAUCCAAACAUAUAUAUAUAUAAAUCUGCUAAUGUCGUAGGGAAACUUUAAAAAUGAAAAUUGCUACGGCCUACCGGUGGUUAAUGAAGGAUGCAACGGCCGGUUAAAACGUCGGUUAGCUCCCGUUUUUCCUGCACAGAAAGAAUUGCCUUACAGUCCCAAAUGCCUCCUCUGUAAUCGCCAUCUUGUUGAAGGAUAGCAAGGUUUCUUCUCAAUUCUUCUUUCUCCACUUCUUCCUCUGGUUUGUAACAUCAUCAACAAUAGAGUGAGAAACACCGGCAGUCAUGCUCAAAAGUUCUUGUCACUUAUUCUUGCUUUUCAAUAUUCGGAUUCGUUCCCUCUGGAUUUGCAAUCAACCACUGCAUGUCUGGAUGGGCUUACUGUUCUGACAGACAAGGUACCAAUAUUUGUUCAUUUGUUGAGAAACAAAUUCAACUCAGUUUUAUAUGAAUGCAUUUUCAUGCUGAGGAAAUGAGUAUUCUUCUUGCUUCACCGUAAGUCUUUUCUUUUUAGUCUAUAAUAUGUGGGCUACCAUUUUGAGGUAGUCCUUAGGAACAACAGGGAUCUGGUUCUGAUUUCCUCUCCAAUUCUAGUUGGAGCAUCUAGUCCUCCCCAUACAACACCUAAAUCCUUUGUGAAACAUGGGAUGAUGUCCUUCAGUAGUUCCACAGUUUCUUUAGAAGUGUACGCUCAGCUAACCUAUUGUGCCGCAAAAUUGCAUAGCCAAUUUGAACUUCGGCUAAUGUAGUUGUUCAUCUCCAGUAGUUUCAUCAAUCAAAGUCUGGUUCACUUUUGCUAAAAAUAACAAGGAAACUGGUUCUUGUAUGGCGCUGAAGAAAUUGAAUAGCUUAAGGAUUAUAGGACAGCUGGUAAAUUUGGUGCUUGCUUUCUACUGUCAACCUCAUGCACUUUUGUAGUUUUUUGUGGACUUCCUCUGUUGUAUCUGGUUCAAAUUGCCAUAACUCCAUGAGCAAUAUUUGUUGUGAUUUGACAUUUGUUAAAAUUUCCCAUGUUGCUGAUGGUGAAACCAUUCAUUGA